RNAcentral lists this ribosomal RNA (534 nucleotides) under Helotiales sp. I12F-02256. Its description in RNAcentral is "eukaryotic LSU rRNA". The stretch from base 199 to 352 matches the Rfam family "5.8S ribosomal RNA". The record is from RNAcentral. Lineage: Eukaryota; Fungi; Ascomycota; Leotiomycetes; Helotiales.
UCCGUAGGUGAACCUGCGGAGGGAUCAUUACAGAGUUCAUGCCCUUACGGGUAGAUCUCCCACCCUAUGUUAUUAUUACUUUGUUGCUUUGGCGGGCCGUCAGGCUCACGCCCGGCUACCGGCCCCGGCUGGUAAGCGCCCGCCAGAGGACCCAAAACCCUGAUUAUUAGUGUCGUCUGAGUACUAUAUAAUAGUUAAAACUUUCAACAACGGAUCUCUUGGUUCUGGCAUCGAUGAAGAACGCAGCGAAAUGCGAUAAGUAAUGUGAAUUGCAGAAUUCAGUGAAUCAUCGAAUCUUUGAACGCACAUUGCGCCCCUUGGUAUUCCGAGGGGCAUGCCUGUUCGAGCGUCAUUACAACCCUCAAGCCUGGCUUGGUAUUGGGCUUCGCCACUCACCUGGCGGGCCUUAAAAUCAGUGGCGGUGCCGUCGAGGCCCUGAGCGCAGUAAAUAUCCUCGCUAUAGGGACCCGGCGGUUGCUGGCCAUCAACCCCCAACUUUCUAAGUUGACCUCGGAUCAGGUAGAGCCCGCUCUG